This 2414-nucleotide long non-coding RNA is filed under the name Fragaria vesca (wild strawberry). Its description in RNAcentral is "long non-coding RNA (FVES_LNC000108)". The record is from RNAcentral. Lineage: Eukaryota; Viridiplantae; Streptophyta; Magnoliopsida; Rosales; Rosaceae.
AAGACGUGAGAUUAUGCCAUGUUAACAUGUCAUUUGAUGAUCCGAAAUGAAUUUAGGAACAAACAACGAACUGAAAUGAAACAAGAUAGAAGAAAUUGAAGGAGAGACAAGCACAUAUUCGGGGCUCAAGAUGGUGAAAAUUCAUUUCCAUGUGCAAGAACAAAACAGCUAGGCUAGAAGCAGAGCGCAGAGAACGUGAAUAAUGUUACCAGAUGACGACGACUAGGGGCGACUAAUCAGCCUGCAAAGGAGAGACAAGUAUCAAACAAAAGGAAUGCAUCAGAUAUGAACUUCAUUUUUAUAUAAUUCACAUAUAUAUAACAAAUCUAUGCUACUUUAAUAAUAGGAUUGAAGUCAUGCAUGUUAUAUCCCAUUACUUUGUAUUCUCAGUGGAAGGCGGUUUUCAUCUCAUUGACUAGCUAGCUAGAAACAAACCCAGCACAAGUUAUUGCCCACUGGUUUCAAAACCAUGAAAACUGUUGUAAAGAGAAUAGACCUAGCUACAUGUUCCUCGAGAAAUGUUGCACUCCAAGUUGCCCUCUAUAACAUCAUUGUAAGUUAAAUCUUAUCAUUGCAGAAAACAUGGAGCGCUAUAUGACUUAGGUUCACCGGUUGUUAAGCAAAGAUAGACAUUCAUCAGGUCAACUGGUCAAGUACGUACAUCUGAAAUCUAAACCCUAAGCUCUGAUUGAGAAAAGGUGUCCGUACUCAUUUACUUCUUGUAUAACAAAACUCUCUAUUGAGGUUGAUAUACAUAUAUACAUGUAUAAGUAACUUUAAACUUGAAUUCAGAUCAACAGUAAAAGUAUAAGAUGUAUGUACUUGUAUCAAACUAUCUACAAGUAUAAGAACCAACUUCUGCAGCAGCCAAUACAGUAAAUCAGUUAAUCUGGUACUGAUUAACUAAGAAACCAGUCAUGUAUUCGAGCUCGUUUCUAAGAGAGCUGGUAUGUGACAAUCCUAAGUGGAAUCCACAAACUGAUUACGAUCGCGAUUCGCGAGAGUAAACAUGUCAUUGCAUAUGGUAGCUACAUUCACCACCAGAAAUAGGGACACAGACUAAUAUGGCUUAAGCAGUUUACAGUCUUCUGCACUUUCCAAGAUAUAGGUCCUUUUAAUUUGCAGUGCAUCACCCAGUUUAUCUGAUUAAUCAUCUUUAUUAUAUGAAAUGGAAAGUUGUACACGGGCAAUUGAGAGGAAGGGAUCCCUUGACAGGAAUAAAUUUAAAUUACAGCUAGUUGGGAUUAAUAAGAUUUUCCUAAUCGUAUAGUAGCUACUGUGUCAACAUCUGCUAAUUAAGUAAAAGAGUUAAAUUGUAUGUCAAUUUGUGUUGCUAAUAAGGACUACAACUCAGUUACAUAUAUACUGAAGAUACAUAGGUGUUGAUUUGUGUCCUUAAUUAAGUGGCAAGCUUAGCUAGCGCCCUUGUUUCAUUUGGUGCAGUUACAACAGACCUUCAUAUAAAUUUGAAUCCCUUGGAUCAUUUCCUAUAUGCUUCUAGAACAGAAAAGCUGAAGAAUGGACGGAGGGGUGAAUCACACAUAUGAUCAAAUGAGGGUUUAGUUUUUCUAAAAAGAGAGAGAGAGAUGUGAGUUGGCAUGUUUGUUACCCAAUUUCAAUCCAAGGCCAAAUAUCUUCAUGAAAGAUAUAUAACCAAUGACAAUGUGACACUCGGGAUUCUUAGUUUAUUAUAAUAAAGCUAGGAAAGAUCAUGUCGAAGAUAGAUAUAUAGUCGAAUAUAGAUAGCUAGAUCAUUAUCAAAAUGUAGAAUAUUGGGUUGGUAAUCAAAUAUUAUUACUGUAUCUGCUGCCUCUAUUCGAUUUAGCUUACAUAAGUACUUAAACACUUGAAAUUAUUAUCAUCCAUGAUUCUUGUGAACAAGUUUUGUGAAAGCAGCCAUGAGCUUGUGAGUCUUUGAUAGACACAUAUAUAACCACAACUAGCAGGGUCGAUAUGCAUUGUUUACUAAUGUGUCUAAUUAAGCAGAAACAUGCCAACACGCCAUAAUGGUCUUUACUUUAGAAAUUUCCUACAGCUUCUGCGUCUGCAUAUGCUGCUAAAUCUAACAAAUAUGCAAAUCUGUUUAUAUAAUGUGUAUGUACGUACACAAAUAUAUGCUUUUGUGUAUGUUUUCCCUAGUAUGUGAUCUACCAUCGUCCACAUAGACUAUAUUAUGCGAGACUCAUUGACUACCAAUAAUGCACAAUACUCAUAAUCAAUUUGUAUGAUUACCUAGCUUUCUGCAUUUCAAUGUUAAUCUAAUCUAAAUAAACAUUGUGUUCUUCCCUGGCUUCCACUUGCAAUUGUUUUGAUUUGUUAAGUAUUUUCAUGAUUGAAUUAUGUAUUAUUCAGAAUAACAGAAGAGAAUCCACAUAUGUGACAAGAAGUACCUUUUUGAGGAGAGCUUUCUCUGU